UACGUAGGGUGCGAGCGUUGUUCGGAGUUAUUGGGCGUAAAGGGCGUGUAGGCGGCUUGAGAAGUCUGAUUUGAAAUGCACUGGCUCAACUGGUGCGCUGGGUCAGAAACUGGCAGGCUAGAGUUCAUAGGGAGGAACUGGAAUUCCAGGUGUAGGGGUGAAAUCUGUAGAGAUCUGGAAGAACACCGGUAGCGAAGGCGGGUUCCUAUGGAUGGACUGACGCUGAGGCGCGAAAGCGUGGGGAGCGAAC
Molecule: ribosomal RNA, 250 nt
Filed under: uncultured bacterium
Lineage: Bacteria
Description: partial 16S ribosomal RNA
Rfam family: Bacterial small subunit ribosomal RNA
Source: RNAcentral